CGAGAAAAGUAUCAUGGAAAAUAAGACAUGCUUGACCACAAGAAAUGUGGUCUUCUGCAAAAAUCAGCUAUUUCCGCUUUUAGCAACGUUUAUCUUUUGUAAGCAUAUUUUGACCAAUGUAUGUCAAAGUUCAUGAUCAAUACUGUAUAAAUAUGCCAUCCUUUUUAUAAUACACUUGAAGAUUAUGGAAAGCAAAGAGUGUGUGUCUGGUUAAUAUGCUUCCAUAAAAAUCUUCCCUGAAUAUUCAGCUGACAAUCGAGGGUUGGAGAAUAGUGACCAGAGGGACCGAGUCACCAGAGUAGCAGAUUUACCUUUCAGCUUGGUGGCAGCGGUGGGAUUGUAGCCAAAACCAUUUUGGGUGAGUAGUAAUUCCUUGUGUCUAUCUUGACGCCCUGAAUCUAUGAUCCCCAUGGUUUUGUAAGUCUACAUCAUUUUAGGAAAGGUUAUUUAGUAUAUGUGUUUUCUGUGACUCAGUUUUACAUAAGGUCCCGUUAAAUUAGUCUAGUAAGGGAACUAGACAGAGAGAUAUAUGUAUUUCUAGUAAGUGAACUAGAGAAGGUCUAAUAAGAGAAUUGGACAGAUAAAGUCUAUAAAGUGAUAUAGACAGAGAAUUUAGUAUAUAAGUGAAUAUACUACGAUAGUGUGCACAGAGUUUCAGGUUCACCUUGUCCACCCUCUAAUUGUCAUUAGUUAAGUCUGGUUCUGAGUGUGAAUAAGUGUUUGAAAAAUUUGUCCUAGAAAUGGGAAAUUACCAUGCAAGAAUAUGAAGUAGUUAACUUUUCUUGUUCAUAUGUAUUUUAUGCUUAAAUAAGGUUUAUAAUCAUUAGUGCUGACUGUAAGGAUAUGAAAUAGUUAAACUCUUUUUGCUUUAUAUGCUAGCCCUGAAAAUAUACUCACUGAGAAUCUUGUUAAAGCACAUUUGUAGUGUCCAUGUCUUUAUUGCAAACAAUGACUCUCCAUUAAUUGGGUGAUUGUCUAUAUUGGGGACACACUUUGGUAAGUUAGUAGUGUGUCCACCCUGAGUCAGCAGUAUGGGAAAUGUAAGUUCUGGUCCUGAGUGACCAAUAUAUAUACAUAUAUAUAUAUAUAUAAUAGCAGAACUGUAUAUUAGAAAAGAACUGACUCGCAGGUUGUACCUGAUAGACCUACUUAAAUCUUUUGCUUUAUUCUUUCUGUCGCAUAGAAGUAUAAGUUUAUUACUCUGUUGUAUUGUAAGUUAUUUCACAUGGGAUCUGUGUGCCUGAUAUGAUUGUUGCUUUAAUACCAUAAGCCCACUACACUUUCUAUGAGAGUGGGAUAGUGUAAACGUGUUGCAUUGUUUGCAUGAUGAGCUCAGUAUUUUUAUAACUGAGACAAAAGUCACUUCAUUAGUAUUUGAAAGUUAAUUCCCCAGAUGGGAUUAAUUGUAUAGAAACACCAAUCAGCACAUCUUCCCUGCCCUGUGUGUUUGUUGCAAAGGAUCCAUACCAUUAAUAUGAUUUUUGUUUGUAAAUAAGGGAGCAACAUUUACAUUUUCAGCGGUCCAACACAUGCUUCAUUUUGUGCUGUAAGCUAACCUUUUUAUUGCUACAGAUGCUUUAAAUGAUUCAGCUACUGCAUAUGUUUUGUGUCUUCUAUGUCUCACAUUAUAUGUGUUCUGUUCUUUUAAAUUGUGGUAUAUAGCCUGGAUCAGAGAUUAUGGACAAAGGUUUCUACCUGUUUUACUAAGGCUCUUGGAGACUGACCGGUCUAAGGUUUGCCAUGCCUUUUAAACAUGGUAUAGAAUAAUUUUUUUUUAAGUCUCUGAGAGUUCUGUAAGAUUCUGGUGAAACCAUGUCUGUGUAAUCUGGUCCAGAUGUUUGCUCAAUUUCUAUAAAAUUUAAGUUGAUGCAGUAUCAUCUCAGAUUAGUUAAUGGAAGUUUCAUACAAAUAUAUGAGUUAUGAGUGCGCUAUAUAAAUGGAUCCUUUCUCUAUAUACAAUACUAUAGUAGAUUAAAGUAAUGAAGUUAAUAAGAAUUAAAAAAAAAAAAAAGUAUACAUAAGAAUCCCUAAAAUAAAUCUAAUAUAAACUAAAAUUGGUAUACCUUACAAUAAUAUGUUCUGAGUACAGCUGUUAACUGUUUAUUCUGUGUAAAUGGUGACUGUGAUAAUGUGUGAAGUGUGCAGCUUAACUGGAAAGUGGUUUAAUUGAUAUGUUGCUGUGUUGUUUUAAAUUAUAUGUGAAUCAGUUUGUCUCAGUUUAGUGAUACUGAUACAAAUGCCAGCCAAAUAACCCAGCAAAUAACGGUUUUAUUAGCUGUUGAAUACUAGCAUUCUGGCCAAGAGUAGUUGGAGUAGUUCUAUGAGCUCAGAGAGGCUCUGUGUUGUGUUCUGAUAUAGCUAUAUGGGAAUGGAGAUUUGGAGGUGUUAGUUUAAGACUGCUUUCAUAUUGUGUCUACCCGUGUUUCCUAGGAGGGACACAGAGUGUGUAGUUGCGUGCUCAUGAAUGUGUUUUCUAUAUUGGCAUAUCUGCUGGGUACCCGAUACGUGUAUCUACUACGUCUGUUUUGUGAGAUGUCUGUUUUGUGAGAUGACAUGUAAUAUUACAUUGGAUGCUGAGUAUGAGUUAUAUGGUUUGAAAUGAAUUGGUGUGUUAUGUGUUUCAUGUAUUUUAUUGUCCAUUGUGUAGGAGUUUAACUAGCAGAGUGAUUUGCAUAUCAUUAACGCAAGCAUUUAGUGUUUUUACAAAAGGUGAAAUGCUGUCCAGCCGGCUAGAAUGAAACAAUUGUAUGCUAUCGCUCCUGGAGCAAGAAAAGCGCUUGUUACAUCCCACGUGAAAGGGGCCCCGCAAACUUCUGCUGUUCAAAUCGUGGAUCCACGUUUCCAUUUGCAAAUUGAUUAAUCCUGAAAGUCAUUCUUUUACUGAUAAAAAGGAUAAAUGGACAAGAUGUCUCUCCCUCAUAAAGGAGUUCUAAUAGGGGAGUAUUGUCCAGCUCAGAGUUAACUCUACUUUUAAAGUAUAUUGCAUUGUUUGUGUCAAAGUAAGAUUCAUCUAAUAUGCCUCAUUGAUUAUGGGAUAAUAAUAAAAUUGUAUUUUUAAUAGGGAUUAGACAAAUUUCUGAAAUUUAUAAGUGAGGUAAUUUUAAUCUCCUAAACUACUGUAUUAUAUUUGUAUGGGUAAAUUGAAAGCAUUUUGCAGAUCCAGAAGAGCAUUAAUAAAUAAUAUAAUAAUCUCACUACGUGCCAAUUUAUGCAAAGAGGCUAUCCAAAGUACGCACUAACGGGUUAAACUUGUUUUCUUGAUAAGCGUAUAACAUUUAGUUUUGUGGUUAGACUUUUGAUACUCAAUUUGAAAUAUGUCCCAAUUACAUCCUUGCAUGGCACCAGGUACAGGUAGCAAUAUGUGUUUUAAAAAUUUGCAAGGUCUUAGUGUUUUCAAUAUAUUAUAAUAAUGGAAAAGUACCUAACCGCAUGUCUGCAUUACGCUCAUGACACAGACUGUCAGUAUUGCAAGCCCUAUAUGAAGGCUAUGCUUUCAUUGUUGAUGUAUAUACCCCUAGACAACCUUGCUUUAUAUACAAAAUGUAACUAUCCAUACAGCCUUUAAAAGCUUAUUAAUAUUAUAUCUGUGUGGUACACAAAGAGGGGGCUGUGAGUUAGGUAAUCCCAUCCUGCAUAUGGAAUAAAGGCAGAGGUAGAGGAUUUAGUCAAAGGGUCUAACUUUUGUAGAGGUAACAACUUCAGCAUUGGUGGAACACACUGUUCUAAUUGUGGAUAGCAGGGUCACUGGAAAAAUGAGGGCCCAAACCCACCCCCACAGAUUCCUCAAUACCAACCAUAGCUUCCAACCUAUACCCACACCCAACAACCCCAGCCUAAUACACAGAUGGUUCAUGUUUGUAAUAUUUUAUAUAGUUUUAGGUGUUAAUCCAAGAGUAUUGAAUUAUUCGGGAUUAUUAAAGUAAUUAAUUUUGAAUAUCAGAUCAAGGUUCCAGUUUAGGAACAGAGUUUUAUUGGGAAUUAUCCCCAUAUGUAUAUGUUAGUGUUUUAAUAUUCAUCCUAACAAGGAUUUCUAUAGAGUGAGUGCUACUCUCAUCCGUGCAAAGGCAUUCCAAAGGGGUAUUAUGUAAAACUUUAUAGAAGACAGAUUGCAUAAAAUAUAAGAGAAGUACAUGUUACACAAAUUAAGGGUUUAACCUUAAUCUCUAAUUUAAGUUUUAGCCUAGAUAAUUAAUUAAUGUUGUAUUGAUCCUUGUGUUUGUAUGUUUGUAGAGACCGUCCUGGAGUGUUUGUGCCGCCUGAUUUCUGGGACUACACACUAAUCUCUCUGGCUGACCAUGCAAUAAGUAUUUUGCAAUUACAUCUGUUUGGUCAUUAUCCAUGCAGGCCGAAGAAACUGAGAUACUUAUUUAUGAGGACAUAAACUUUGCACGCAAGAACCUGGAAAGUCCUGAAGGUGCAGUGCUGUCUAAUGCCGCUGGUUCUGUAAUAACCCUUUCAACCAUUGGGGUGUUGCACAGAGCUUUGUGGUGAAAAUCCAGCAAACAAAAGAAGAACUAAGAACUAUAUGGAAGCUGACAUUGUCUUGUUGUCAGCCAUAUUGCUACCCUUAGCCAUUUUUAUGGAACAAAAUGUCUGGUGUCUAAACUGAUUUCUUUAUACUCUGUGAAAUACUUAUUCUAUUUUUCUGGACUAUGCUGAACUAUUGAACUAAUUUUAUUUUCAUUUUUGUAGAGUUAGCCAGAGAGAGAGGAAGUGUUAGCUGACCCAGGGAUGGAUGUACUAUGUGUAUCUUUGAUGUAUGUUGAGUGUGCCAAGGAUGGAUUCCCAUGUUUUGAGGAACUGCGUGAGGAUAUGACUGGUUUUGACUGGACUUUUGGAAUAGCGAAAAGGUUAAAAAAUAUAGGACGCAAGGUCCUGGUUGUGAUUAUUGUCAGAAUUUCAAGCUAGAUUAUAAUUUAUCUCAUGAAUUAAUAUGUAAGAAGUGUUUCCCAAUUCCUCCCAAUACCCAAGCUAUGUACUCACAGGUGCGGGUAUUAUAAGUCAUAAGUGGUGUCAACUGUGAGGGGAUGACAUGUCUAACACGAUCGCGGCCCCCACUCAGGUUUUCCCUAAAUGUUCUUUUUCCUCAAAUAUGAGUUUUUGCCACUGGGUUUUUGCCUGGCCAAAGAUCAUCGGGUGGACUGGUAAUCCUAGACCCGGGUCAUUGGACGGGGGAUAGGUAUUAUUCCCACUUUGACUAUAUGCGCCCACUUGCGUGGAUGAAGGAGGAAAACAACUAUUGGGAAUAAUAUACUUUGCCCAUAUUUACCUAGGGCUUAUGAUACAGAUGGCAUGUUGGUUAGUCUGUUUAAAAUUGGUUAACAUGUCAGCUAUUUGCAAUAAUUAUUGUUAUGGUUCUGGUCCUUGCUCUACUUGUUUAUGCUAUUUUUAAGACUAUUGUAUUCUGCAUUUACAAACAUACAUGCAACACUGUUCCUGUAAAAUCCCCAGCUUGCUAUGAUGAGUAUCUCCAAAUGUAUACACAUAACCGAAGCAAUGGUGAACAUGCUGAUACAGAUCUAUAAGUUUGUGGUACUGGUCAGAUGACUAGUCCUAUGCUAUGGGAAUAGUGGCCGAAGACAUAAUGAAAGACCUGCAGGAUUGACUAGCAAACCCGAAUAUACCAUGGCAGAUGGCUGGUUGUCUGACCAAGACUCCUUAAAUGGGGUAUGAGCAAGGUCUUGCUCAAAGAGGGGAAUGAAGGGAAGGGGUUAAUGAUUCUCAUCUAUAAUUUCUGAUAUUAUAUUCUCUUUCUUAAGAUUUACACAAGAGCUAAAAACUAGACAAACCACAGGUUAUUUUUGAUUUAUCACUUCUGCUUUUGAAUCAACAGACGCAUCCGCAAAGUAACGUUGACCUGAUGCUUCCGAGAAAAGUAUCAUGGAAAAUAAGACAUGCUUGACCACAAGAAAUGUGGUCUUCUGCAAAAAUCAGCUAUUUCCGCUUUUAGCAACGUUUAUCUUUUGUAAGC
Pelobates cultripes (western spadefoot toad) is the source of this 5971-nucleotide non-coding RNA. Lineage: Eukaryota; Metazoa; Chordata; Amphibia; Anura; Pelobatidae. The record is from the annotation of a GenBank genome assembly.